RNAcentral lists this non-coding RNA (282 nucleotides) under marine eukaryotic metagenome. The record is from RNAcentral.
AUAUUUUCUGAACAGAACCUUUUCCGAAAGUUUUCUUUCCAACAAUCUUUGCCCGUUUAAGAUCUUGCAUACAACCAGCAACGAUUUCAGAGGCGCUGGCACUAAAUUCGUUGACCAAAACAACCAGGGGCAGUUCUGGCCGAGCGAAUCGCCCAGAAGACUUAUGUAUUGAAUUCUCACUUUUUCGACGGCCCUCUGUAGUCACAAUUAAUUCUCCUUGAGCUAAAAACUUUUCACAAACCUUUACAGCCUGAUCGAGUAAACCACCUGGGUUAUGACGUA